GCGGCUGGUGGAGUGGUUAAUGCUUUGUUUGUUGAACAAGAGGUCUCCGGUUCGAUCCUGGUUGCGCA
RNAcentral lists this transfer RNA (68 nucleotides) under Helianthus annuus (common sunflower). Its description in RNAcentral is "tRNA-Asn". Lineage: Eukaryota; Viridiplantae; Streptophyta; Magnoliopsida; Asterales; Asteraceae. The record is from RNAcentral.